UCCGGUUUGUCACCGGCAGUCUCAUUAGAGUGCCCAACUCAAUGUAGCAACUAAUGACAAGGGUUGCGCUCGUUGCGGGACUUAACCCAACAUCUCACGACACGAGCUGACGACAGCCAUGCAGCACCUGUGUUACGGCUCUCUUUCGAGCACUCAGCCAUCUCUGGCCAAUUCCGUACAUGUCAAAGGUGGGUAAGGUUCUUCGCGUUGCGUCGAAUUAAACCACAUGCUCCACCGCUUGUGCGGGCCCCCGUCAAUUCCUUUGAGUUUCAACCUUGCGGUCGUACUCCCCAGGCGGGGUACUUCCUGCGUUAGCGCCGGCACCCAGAGGGUCGCUCCCCCAGGCACCUAGUACCCAUCGUUUACGGCGUGGACUAC
This 378-nucleotide unclassified non-coding RNA is filed under the name uncultured bacterium. RNAcentral's name for it is "contains 16S-23S intergenic spacer region". The record is from RNAcentral.